UUUUUUCUUUUUUUUUUCUUUGAACAUUUUCAUUUGGUUUAUUUAUUUAUAUCUCAAGAACCCUUUGUUGUUGUUUUCAACUAUAUGCAGGAGUAGGGAUAUUAUCAAUUCCAUAUGCACUGGCAUCAGGGGGAUGGCUGAGCUUGGUUCUUCUUUUCGCCAUUGCCACUGCUGCAUUCUACGCAGGCUUGUUAAUUCAAAGAUGUAUGGAUGCAGAUCCAACAAUCAGAACUUAUCCAGACAUGGGGGAGCGAGCAUUUGGGAACAAAGGGAGAGUGAUGGCAUCAGUUGUUAUGUAUAUCGAGCUCUACUUGGUGGCGACUGGAUUUUUGAUUCUUGAAGGAGAUAACUUGCAGAAUUUGUUACCCGAUGUGGAGUUUGAAGUUGCAGGAGUAACAGUGGGAGGCCAAAAAGGGUUUAUUAUAAUUGUAGCUCUCAUAAUAUUGCCUACUGUUUGGUUGGAUAACUUGAGCCUUCUUUCUUAUGUCUCAGCAAGUGGGGUUUUGGCUUCUGCAGUCAUCUUGGGUUCAGUCAUCUGGACGGGUGCAUUUGAAGGUAUUGGGUUUCAACACAAGGGAACACUCAUAAACUGGGGUGGAAUCCCCACUGCUGUCAGCUUAUAUGCCUUCUGUUAUUGCUCUCAUCCAGUCUUCCCUACCCUUUACACUUCAAUGAAAAAAAGGCAUCAAUUCUCUAAUGUGAGUAUCAUCAUCCUCAGCCUCACAUUUCCAAAUUUGUUUUUCCAAUAAACAGGGUUCUGAUGUAAGGAACUUGUCUGUUUUUUUUUAGGUCCUGGUUGUAUGCUUUGUCUUGUGUACCAUCUGUUACACAUCAAUGGCGAUUUUCGGCUACUUAAUGUUUGGGUCAGAUGUUCAAUCACAGAUAACUUUGAACCUUCCAACAGACAAGCUCAGCGCAAGAGUUGCAAUAUACACCACCUUGGUCAAUCCCAUAUCCAAAUACGCAUUGAUGGUUACACCAAUUGUGAAUGCCACUAAAGCCUGGAUUCGAUAUCCCUGCGACAAGCGAGUCGUCAACCUCUUUGUGGGCACCACCCUGGUGAUCAGCACGCUUUUGGUGGCUCUGGCAGUUCCAUUUUUCGGUUCCCUCAUGUCACUAGUUGGAGCAUUUUUAAGUAUCACAGCUUCAGUCAUGCUACCAUGCGUCUUCUACUUGAAGAUAUCAGGAACUUACCAGAGAUUCAACGGCGAAUUAUUUGCUGUAAGCCUAAUCAUUUUGAUGAGUGUUGCGGUGGCUAUAUUUGGUACUUACACAUCUGUAUUAGACAUGAUAGGCAAAUUAUAAACACCAAUGCAUUGGUGAGUUUUGUCUUAUUUUGUUACAAUAUAACAAAUUCUAGUGUAAUUUUAGAGGGUUCCUUACCAAAUUCAGAUCAAGCUUUCCUUUUUAUCAUAAUUGUGAAAUCUGUUAUUUUUCUACUCCUUCCGCCACUAUUGUUAGUUGUAGGUAUACACUAACUUAUUGUUUGAAGGGAACUGUUAACUGGCCCACGGUAGUGGCACCCCUUAGGCGAGUUUUUUUAACCUGGACCGCGGCCUAUAAUGCAAAAUUGGAUUUCUUUCACAGUGCCACCAAGAAUGGCUCAAUUCAUAUCAACGGUUAGUAACUACCUUCUAUUGAUUUAAAUAUCCCCCCAAACCUUUAUUUCUUUACAAUCAAGCAGUUAUUGUAAUCUGAAAAACAAAAUGGAGCAAACCCACCAUGGAAUUGGCAUCAAAGUUUACACUACUGCAACACCACCCCCAGAGGAGGACCCUACACCACUCUCUUCCCUCCCUCGACUGCCACCAGAACCCGGCCGCAAACGGAAAGUGGUAGCCAAAGGAGUUCAAAAAACCAUUUCCAAAACUUCUAUGCUUGUCAACUUCCUACCAACAGGCACCCUUUUAACUUUCGAAAUGGUUCUUCCUUCUGUUUAUCGCCAUGGUGACUGUUCCCAUGUUACCACCAUCAUGAUAUACUCCCUCUUAUGCCUUUGCGCACUCUCUUGCUUCUUCUUCCAUUUCACCGAUAGUUUCCGAGGCCCCGAUGGGACUGUUUACUACGGUUUCGUCACCCCCAACGGACUUGCUCUUUUCAAACCUGGUCUUGAAGUCGAAUCCCCGAAAGAUGACAAGUACAAGGUUGGACUUACUGAUUUCGUUCAUGCUGUGAUGUCGGUGUUGGUGUUUGUGGCCAUUGCUUUCUCGGAUCAUAGAGUUACCAACUGUGUUUUCCCAGGACAUGAGAAGGAAAUGGACCAAGUUAUGGAGGGUUUUCCGCUUAUGGUGGGGAUUAUUUGCAGUGGCUUGUUUCUUGUGUUUCCAAAGACUAGAUUCGGCGUUGGUUGCAUGGCUGCUUGAAAUUAGCCUCAUGGUUGUCCAUUUAGCGUCUUAGUAUAGAAAAAUGCUUAAUUUGAUAUGAAAUUUUAGGAAUAAAUUUCUUCAACAAUUCAUGGCUUCUGCCUGCAGAAGAUUGUACCAUUGUUGCUUAAUAUCUAUAUUUUUUUCUUUUGUGGUUUCAUAGAAGUGUGUUUGGAUUUAUGCAAAUUUGAAUAUGAAAAGAUAACUUCCCAAGAAUCUUUUGACAAAUCCACGCAGAUCCAAGCUCCAUACAUCUGAAUCCGAGUAACAAAAAUACAUACAUUCAGUUCAAUGCUGUUUUCCAGACUUUACUCUUCAGUCUCAACCUUCAGCAAAAAGAAACUGAAGAGAAAUAGCAAAUCAUAUAUAUUUCUUUUAGUUGCAACAGAUCAAAAGGACAGGGAUAUUGCAUCAGACAUCACAAACGUUCAUAGAUAAAAAUAGGAGAUUAACCCACAAAAUCGUCCAAAAAAUACGAGUUGCAGAGAUAUGAAUAUAUCUAAAUCAUAGGCUUGCAAAGGAUACAUUUUUCUAUAAUUGUAACUCGGAGGGUGCGAGCUCUAUCUAUGUAAUAGAGAAUUGAAGUCUUCUUUAUCGAUCAAACUGCAAAAUACGAGUAACUCGAUAAGAGCCCUGCAAAACCCUUUGAUAGGCAACCUUCAAUUGCACAUGGAGACUUCGAACAACACACAGGACUACUGUGUUUAGCAACUUCCAUGCAAUCAUCAGAUGCAUCAGGGGUAACCAAUCUGUGUGCAAUCAACCUACUUCUCUUAGAAUUCAAUGAGCAAUUCAGGUCUGGUGUGUCCGACAAGUGCGAAUCCGAGGACUCCAUUUCGUAAUCAUGACAUUCGAGCAAUUUCCUCUUCAUCCCAGGAAAUACUCUUAAUCCUGCCACGUGAUAUUAUUAUAAUAAAAUCAGUUAUCUAUUGCAAUCCGCAUAAGCAGCUAACUUACAUAAAUGUAAUGUGACAACUAAUAUACAACAUACCAGGCAAAGUGUCCUCAUAUGCACACAACUGGGGCUCCGAAUCAACACAGCAACAGAAAACAUUUGAAUCUUUGUUGGAUCCUGAAAUUCUGCAAUGGGGUAGAAAGAUAAGGGGUUUGAGGCAUCUAGGUAUAGUGUGCAUAAAAUAGCAUUAUUUUAUUAGAAAAUUUCGGAAGAUCGGGAUAGUGAAUAACCAAAUGAUACAAGGUAUGAUUACCAGUAAAUAAAACAAAUGAAUGAGAGUGAGUGAGUGAUCACAUAAGAGUUAGUAAAAUACAAAAAUUAAAAUAUUAUAAGUAGAAGGAUGAUAUGACAAAACACUAAAACCUACAUUGCUCGGAGUAAAGAGAGAGUGCUAGAUAUAAAGUAUGUGUGUAAUAUGGGUAUGCUCAAUUAUUUUUAAAUGUUUUUCUUUGGGGUAUAUUUGAAGAACUGUACCCAUGUACAAAUGCUGUAUAAGGAUACUUAAAGGAAAAAUGAAGAGUUCGAGUAACAUAAACUAAAACAAUCACAAUAAGAACUUGAAAUUGUAGCCCAAAAUUAACUGUGUAAUAAAAAGAUGGCCAUCAAAUUUUCCUUAUGAUCAUGUAAGGUAUAGAAAGCGAACCUGUACAUGUGCUCAACAAAGUCAUCAAUCAGAACAGGCCAAGCACCUGCAAAAUAACCAAACAACUAAGGUUCAAGUGGCACAAAUACAUAAGAAGACGAAAGGAUAGAUUUAUGGAAACUUAAUACCUUCAGGAUCAUACCCUUCCAGAUUUUCAUGUACACACCUACUGAAUGCUAAAACUUGCUGCCAUGUAUCCUCUGAAAUAUUGUGACGCUGAUAUUCCUGAAAGGAAAUCAAAGACAUCCAUUGCCUCAAUCAAGAGAUUGGUGGUAGUCAUUAGCAGGUAUACUUUCAACCCAUGGUAUGAGUGUCGAAUACGGAUACGUGACUAACACGAGUAUGUUCAAUUUUUUUUUUCAAGUUUUUCCAUAUAUUUGGAGUGCCAUAUCUCCAUACCCAUGUCAAAAUAUGUGCCGGAUAUCAGACAUGAGUACUUCAACCAAAAUGAAAAAUUGGAGCAAUAUAGCUUUCAGCUUGAACUAAUACGCAAUAACAGAACAAGUGUAUGGCCCGAGAGACACUAUCAACCAUUUUCACAUGCUUGGCAUGCACUAACAAUAGAAACUGGAGAAGCAGACAAGUCACUCCCUAUAUGAUAAAACAAAUGUUGGACCUAUCAUGGUAAUAAUAAAUCAUUUAUAACCAAUAUCAAGAUUCUAAUGACAUUUUUGUCCAAAAGUUAAAGUGGUCUACAAUGGGACAGCAACCAGUAGUUUCGCAAGAUGUCUCCAAGACAAGCAUAAAGUGUUAGUCUCUUGGUAUUAGUCAUGUUCAUACCUCAACAAAGUUGCACCAUUUGUCAAGUAGUCGAAAUCUGCCAGCCAACACUAAUCUCCAUGCAGCAACCGCCCUGCUUAUAGCUAUUGAUCACACCAAAAGAAAGAGAAUUAAAUACGACACCAAAGAAAUUUCUUGUAAUUUACACUUAGCUAACUUCGAUGUUAUUCCAAGGAUAAAUCAGUACAAGCAUUUGCAUUUAACGAUAACUUACUAAUAUUCUUUUGACCAUUUUCUCGGCACAUGAAGAAAACAAAAUCAUAGAAGCAUGAGAAUUCAGAAAAGUCCACCUACAGGAAACAACAGCAAGCCCAAAUUUUAGUAUGGAAAACAUGAUACCAGAAAAUAAAACCAGUGUACCGACAAUGAAGACCUUCAAAGAUACUCGAUACUGAAGUCUAAAAUUACUAGUUAAAUCAGUCCCUCAAAGAAAUUCAAUGAAAAGGAAUCUCACCGUCAAGUCUAGUUGUAACAUGAGCUUGUGAAGUUCAUCAAAGAUGGCAGUCCUGUCAAGGGAAACAUAACCAAUAAGCAAUCACUAGUGUAUAACCAAUUAUACGAUCAAAUAACCAAUAAACAAGAUUGGCUAUAGAAUCUUGUUCAGAGGUUUGAUAAUGUCUUGGGGAAUAAUAUAUUUCUUUUUCACUCAUCGCAUAAUCAUAAAUGACACAGUAACAAUCUAUACACAUGUAGGAUUUAUAUCAUGGUCAAGGAGGCAAUAAGCAAAUCAGAAUCAAGCUAGAAUCUUCAAAAUUCAAGCUUAAGAUGGGAUUGGCAGAUCCGAAAACUGCGAAGAAUGGUAAUUAGUUCACAUGGCAUCCCGUAAAUAUGAUUCUUUGAUUUCAAGACUCAUCAACCAAUUGUCUAAUCUUCCUGAGGGAAAGCCAAACUCCAUAUACUUCUAUCUACAGAUUAUAGACAUGUUCACUACCCAUUACCUUGUGUGCAUCCUUGACUCCACCAUCUUUAAGAGCUGAUUCAAUCUGUCCCUCGAGUACUUAGCUCUUUGUGAUUCCUCAUCUUGUCGGUAACCUUCUUCGCAGCAAACAUAAGUAUCUCCUCUUCUAAGUUCUGCAAGACAGCUUAAAAGUUAACUAAAUAACAUCAACAGCCCUCUGAAAAAUUGUUUUUUAAGUAACAUCUCGAUCACAGCACAGAAACUUCUGAGAAGUUGAAAUUCUAAAACUUCAAGCAUAUCAGUAAAAGACCAAAAACUUUAAACAUUUUAACUAACUCUUUGACCAAAUCAAAUUACAUUUCUUGCAUUAAAUUUUGGGGGUAACUUAAUUAGAUUAAUUUUUCUAUAAUUAAACUUCAGAUGGACCAAAAAUUGAAUUAAAAAAAAAAAAACUUCAAUUCUUUCCUACCAAAAUUAUCAGACAAUAAAAGUAACCCAAAUAAACCCUUAUCCAAUUUCCAAUCUAUUUUCACCCAAAGAUUCACAUGUAGAAGAGCCAACCUUCCCAUAAUAAAUCAACGGAAACAAUUAUUUUAUCUCUAACCAAAUUGAAAGAAUAAAGAAGUAAAAUUUUAUAACAAAUUGAAAGAAAAAAUACCACAAAAUUGCCGGUAAAUUUCGAAGAUAUCAAAGCGCUUCGGACCCAAAGAGUCCAUCGGAUUCUCAGCUGUUUCCGGAGCUCGGACGAGUUGGGGUAUUUAUUUGGGAGGGUGAAUUUCAAAGGAAACACACAGAAGUAAUAAAAAUUGGAACUUGGUCUUGACGGUGUCGUUUAAAAGUUGUAGUCUCCUCUCUUCCUCUGUAUUUUACAAAAAUCAGGUUUCCUUUGGAUUUUGUUUUCAGGAAGAGAAAGAAAGGAAACGAAAACGAAAAUACUGGUUUUUCGGUGAAAUUAACAGGAGGAAUGAACCGGAUCCCUUCCGGUUCAGGUGAACCGGGUGCUGGUAAUGCUUGUGACGCAGCGAUAUCCUGUAUCUUUAGCCCCUUUUAUUACCGAUAUCCUGUUUUUUAUUUUCACUCGACCCAUCUGAAAAAUAGAAAGAUUUAAAUAAAAAUAUAAGUUUGAAAAAUAAGUUUAGUAAAAAAGAUAAAGACUGUUGAGAAAACAAGUUAAGUCUCGAGCAAAGUUUUUUAAUCUAAACUUGACAUAGCCUAAAUAUGUGAGAAAUUCUUUUUUUUUUAUUUUCUUAUCUUUUUACUACUUAAUCUUAUCUAGGGAUAUUUACUAAAAUAUUAUAACAAAAAUAAAAAAUUAUCAAAAUGUUAUAACUUUUUUUUAUUUACCAAAAUAUUAUAAAAAAAAUUUAUUUACCAAAAUAUACCCAAAAAAACAAAAAACAAAAAAAAAAUCUGACACAGCCUGAUCAGGCCAAUCACAUUGGAGGCACCAAGGGUGCCAAUGAGAUUGGCGGCAUCAAUGGUGCCAAUGUGAUUGGCGACACCAAUGGUGCUAAAGAACUAAAAUGUAACUUUUUGCAGUUUUAAGGACCUGACAUGCAAAUUUACCAUUUUGAAUUUUGAAAGUAAAUUGCUGCUGCUGUGCGCACUAAAAUUAAAAUGUGGCUAAUUGUCUUCUAAGCCCUCCUUAUUUAUUAUUUUCUUUUUAUUCNNNNNNNNNNNNNNNNNNNNNNNNNNNNNNNNNNNNNNNNNNNNNNNNNNNNNNNNNNNNNNNNNNNNNNNNNNNNNNNNNNNNNNNNNNNNNNNNNNNNAAAUUAAAUUAAAAAAGUUUACUUAAUUUUAUUAAAUUAAAAUAGAGUUAUUACUUAAUUAGAAUUCUAAGUAUCUUAAUUAUCACUUAACUAAUAUUAGAUUUAAUUAAAAAAAUUAAUAGAAAUACCAGGCAUGCCUUAUUGAAAAACCAGAAGUAAUAAUAAAACUGAUCACCCAUAAAUGUAACCCAAAUAGAAAAAAUAAAUUAUAAUUAUAAACUAUUCUCAUCAAAUUUAGUAAAUUUUUUAAAUAAAUUAUUCUCAUCAAAUUACUAAAAUAAAUAAAAAGUGAAUUGAAGGGAAAUAAAAAGAAAAUAAUAAAUAAUGAGGGCUUAAAAGGCAAUUAGCCAUAUUUCAAUUUUAGUGCGCACAGCAGUAGCAAUUUACUCUCAAAAUUCAAAAUAAUAAAUUUGUAUGUCAGGUCCUUAAAACUGCAGAAAGUUACAUUUUAGUCCUUUAGCACCAUUGGUGUUGCCAAUCACAUUGGCACCAUUGGUGCCACGAAUGUGAUUGGCCUGAUCAGGUUGUGUCAGGUUUUUUUUUCUGUUUUUUGUUUUUUAGGUAUAUUUUAGUAAAUAAAAAAAAUUUAUAAUAUUUUGAUAAAUAAAAAAAUGUUAUAAUAUUUUAGUUAUUUUUUGUUUUUUAUAAUAAUUUUGUAAAAAACCCUCUUAUCUAUUUCUCUCAAAUUGAUACUUAUAUGUUUUUUUUACCUUAAAUUAGUACCUGAAUUUUUUUUAGGCUACUGAAUCUAACUGUGUAAAGAGUUUAGGACCCAUGACAGAAUAAUAUUGAGACAUGUGAUAUAAAUGAAGUCACAAUGAUGUCAUAAUUAAAAAAAUUACUUUUUGACUUUUUCCUCCCCCAAUUUUGUUGACAGUUCUUUUUCCUUCUUUUAUUCUUUUUAUUUUUUCUACGCUGUCCACACUGUCUUCUUUCAACAGAUCAAAAGCAUCCCCCAUUUUAAUCUAGCAAUAUAAUCCCUAGCUUGAAUGACAAACAUGAAAAAAUGCUUCUUAACUUUAUCCCUUUUCUGCAAACACGACCAUCUUCCUUUCAGUCUCAUGAAUGCUUUUUUACCCAUUCUUUCAAUCUCUCUGAUCUUCUCAUUGAAUGCGUGUUGAGUCCAACUUAGAUUUUGAUGAGCGUAAGGGACUCAAACCCAAUCCAUUAAUGGAUACCCUUUACUUCCGACUACCCAAACACCUUUUACUUGGCCUUUAACGGCGGCUUGAUGAAACACCGUUUUCUUGAAGAUUCGUUCGUCAGACAUUGAAUCAAGCCAACCAAUUGAAACGUCAGUGGAAACGUCGAUUGGGUCUACGAUACCUUGGAGUGUGAUGGAAUACGAUUGUUUUUGGGUUUUUUCCGUUUGUUUCUUGUUUAAAUAUGCGGCGGCGUUGGUUCUCGGAGAGAUGAAGUCGUGCCGAAGAAUAAUUUGAAGUCCAUGGUUGCCGUUCAAGCUAGGGAUUGUAUUGCUCGCAAUACCCAGGUUGUUUCGAUGCCCAAGUGAAGAACUUGUAACUCAAAUUACCGGCGUCGCCACACUGGUUCAAUACGCGUUCAGUUAAACCACAACGAAAAACGACGCUGGACUGUUGUAAAACGAGGUUCAUCUUUAGGGCCUGACUGUGGAGUUUUCAGAGGAUCCUGUAAAUAAUUUCGACAUCGAAAGCAAAGUUGUCCACACGUCGGUCACUGCCGGGUUCAAAUUCGGGUUGUGGGCUAAAGUUAAGAAACAUUCAUGAGACUCUAUGGUGACCAGAGACAGUGAAGAAGACAGUAAAAAAGAAAAGGGCUAGAGUUAAGAAGACUGGGAAAUAAAAAAGAAAAAAAAAUGGAAGAAAAGGAGGGAGAGUGAAAAUGAAAAAAAAAACAUAGAUGAAUCAACAGGUCAAAGGGGUUUUGAAAGUGCAACACAUGGCGACAUGCGAUUGUCACAUCAGUAAAAUUUUGACGCCUUAUAUUUAACCAUGAUUAAUUUUAUUACUAUUUUAAAAGUAUUUACUUGUUAAGUUAUACUUAUAUUAGUAUUAUUUAAGUAUACAUAUUUUUUAAUUUGUUUACAUUUAUUUUAAUAUUUUUAAUAUUUUUAAUGUAUUAUAUUUUUUAAAAAAUAUAAAAUAAUAAAAAGAAUUAAUACGGGUGGAUCGAGUCUAAGUUUUAACAUUUUUAUCUGAACUAGGUUUGGAUAAAAUUUUAAGCCCAUUUUCAGAUCUGGCCUAACAAACUGACAUAAAAUUUUGGUUGGGCUGCCCAUGGACACCUCUAACUCCACCCUUCCUGUAAUAUUCUAGUUUAUCUGUCAAAUUUUUAUCUAAAGUAAUUUUUAUGCACCUAUAAUAAUGAAAGAAUAAUUGUAAAUUUACAAUAGAAUUUAUAUAUUGAAGACGUAUAGCAGGCGCAAGUAUUAUUACUUUUAUUCAUCUUUUAUUUUACAUUAUUAAUUUUGAAGUUCAUAAAUCUUACAAGUUAAAUUAAUCAAUACGAGUUAUCAAAUUAAAUCAAUUAGUUAAUCAUUAGUUAUUAAAUUACAAAAAAAUUGUAAUUUUUAAAUGUGUUUGGCUAAUAGAGUGUAUUAUAAAUUAUAAUUACAUAGUUACAUAAUUUAUAUUUUUAAAAAGUAUUAAUUACUAUAAAAUGUAUUAGUAUGAUAAAAAUAAUUUCUAAACAAGUAACAAAAAUUAAAAUAAAACAAUCCGAAUAAAAUAAUUUCUAUUUGCAUAAUUAGCUUCGAUCUUAUAAUAUUUAAGUUCACAAUCCAAAUAGUUUUAGCUUUAAUUAUAAGAACUUAUAUAAACUUAAUUUGGAAAAAAAAACUUAUAUACUAGAUUAUAUCUUUUUUUAUAAUACGUAAAUUAAGUAAAAAAUAAUAUAAAAUUUAUAAUAUAUAAUAUAUAACCUUUAUUUAAAAUGUUUUAUAGACUACCCAAAACUUUCAUAUAACACUUUUUAUAAAUAAUAUAAUUUUUUAUCACAAUUUUGGAAAGUUAUUUUUUAUAAAUAAGUUAUGAUAAAACAAUAAGUAUAUUAUUUUAAUAAUAUAUAACAUGGAAAGAUAAUUAAACUAUAAUCAUAUUUUUUGGCCAUAAGUUUUCAUAAAUAAACAUAUUAAAACAUUUUUAUAACAUGUAGAUUAUUUUUUUAUAAUAAAAUAUGUAACCAUAACUUUUGGAAAUUUUUAGAGUUUAAAUAAUAUUAUUUUUUGUUAUAACUUUAAAAAUAUACAAAUUAUUUUUAUAAUAUAAUUUUUUAGGAUUAAUAAUAUAAGAAUUCUUUUUUCACCAUAAUCAUACUAAACACUCAUAUGUGUUCAUGGUUAUAAUAUAAUUUGUAUACUUUGUAUAAAAAUAAUUUUUUAAAAAUUGAAUUUCAGAUACAACUACCUGCAUAACUAUUCAAAUUCACAGCCUCUCCCUAAGAAUCGAAAAGUGUAAUUGGGUUCUUCAAUUACACCCAAUUUGGUGAGACCCAUCAAUUACAAUAGACAAUAGUUAUGUGGCUUUCCAAACAUUACCUUAAUAAAACUAGCUUCUAAAAUCACUUAAAAAAUCUACCAAUUAUUAUAGAGACAAUGAGCUCAUGCUCAAGCUCUAGUAAAAGUGAUUUAUAAAAUUUCUAUUUUUUUUAAUUUUUGUAUUUUUAUAUUUUUUUCUUUUAUUUUAAAAUAAAUUUAAUAAUUUUUAAAAAUAUUUUUUUCAUGUUUAAAUAUUUUUUAAGAUAUUUUCCGGAUGAAGAUGUCAUUGUGUAGGAUGCGUUGCAUCAUAUAUGAUUAGCCAAAGAUUCCAAUCAGUAUUUUAACGUCUAAAGAAUGUAUGAUAAUGUUAGAGACUAAAUUGAAACUUAUGAUAAAUUUAGGGACUGAAAUAGAUUAAAAAGGAGAAACAAAUAAUAUACUUUAGAGAUUAAAGUAAGCAUUUAAUUGUUUUUUUGAUAACUUUUAUUUUUUUUAAAUAUGUUUACAUAGUUUUUUUAACCGCAACAGCAGUCAGCAACAUAUUAUUUCAACAAUUAAAUUGAUUUCUGUUUUGGAUUCUUAAUCUUGCAUUAUAACUCUAUUGGUAGAUAAAUAUUAAAAGUAUACACUAACUUUAAUUAAAUGUAUAAUUAUUUGAUUAAAUUUUCACGAAUUAUUGAUAACCACUUUACGUCCAUAUAUUGCAUACACAAAAUAAUUAUAUUAAUUUAAAAUAAAAAUAAAAAUAUGUAUUUGUUUCUUUAAUUGUGUAUAGUUUAAUCAAAAUCAAAGUUUUAUAUAUAUAUGAAUCGCAAUUCAAAUUUCAUAUAUAUAAUUGCAUCAAAUCAAAGUAAAUAUUAAACUAAAAUUCAUUUAUAAACUUGAUAUUUAUUAUUUCAAUAGUUCUAGAAAAAAAUGAUAAAUUUAAUGUUACCUACAUAUAUAAAAAUAUUCAUGUUUGAAACCCCCUCCCAAAUGGGAAAUAUGUAUUUAGCUCUUUUUGAAAUUAUAAAAUUUUAAUUAAUACAAGGAUCAAAUGCAUUCUAAUCCCUAUAGGAAUAUAAUUUAUCUAAAAAAAAUUAUUCCUCCAAAUAUAAUAAAAACUUUGAAAAAACAAACCCAUAUCAAUCAGACAAACCCUGGUCCAACUAACAGUACGUCCCAGUAAUCUAUAUAAUAAGCCUUAAUUUUUAUAUUAAUCCACAGCAUCGUUCGCUAAAUAGAAUCCUAAAGGUUCUUAAAAUCAUUAUAUUUACUUAGCAGUAGCACUGAUGACUUAUCAAUGUCUCUCUUCCAGAUAUAGCCAUUGACAUGGUUAAACCAAGACAUAAAUCACAUUCCAUUUGUAAUCUAAUGCUCAAACAAAUCAAAUUACUUUCGAAUAUAUAUCCACACGCUCUUCAUCUCACCCUUCAAACACCGUGACAGACAUACAGGUAAAACUUACUGGAAAGCAGGGAAAGAUGUGAGAAUAGGAGAAGAAAGGCAGAUAAUACUCGAUGUCAUAUCACAAGAGAUGACUAACCUUCUCUAAGUCUCUGGUCCGGAACCUUAUUACCUUCUAAUUCUCUCAAUCUCUACAACAGCUUAUUGUUAUUUGUUAUAUACUACCAUGGAGCUCAAAAUGCGGGCAAAGUUACAGUUUCUAUGCCAUGGAUGUAUCUUAUCAAAGGAGUCUGGAAUAUGCGCCAAAAUCUCAUUAAAACAUAGCAUGAAGUUUUAGCAAGGAUAACCAAAUGAGAACAAGCUAACCAUAACUACCGGAAAGAGUUCAGAUAUAUCAAACAGUAACUGGAAACACAGCAAUCAUUCAAGGAUCGAUCAUAUAUAGGAACAGAUGAACACCCUUGUUUCUAUUGUCCGCAACAACAACAUAUAAAGCAUUGUUAUGAGUUCAAAAGACCCUGUAAGGCAUGCAACGCCAAUCAAUCACUUUCAGAUAAGUUUAGUUGAAUAGUUACUUUUCACUCUAAUGAUGGGCAUCUCGAAAGAAAAUAUUUAACAUCUCAUAUCUUAACACCACCACUAAUCAAACAGUUCUACAUGAUGCAUAAUACCUAAAAGGUUUUGAACUUUCAAAGAUCACCAUAAUCAAUAAGGGAUUUGUAGAAACCAUAAGUGCAUAAAACAAAUUCCCAAAACAUACGUUUCAAGGCUAAAGUACCAUCAAAAAGCGAUUCAAAGGAAAUGGAAAGAACAGCUUCUUAUAUUCUCCACUAUAACCAACUGUAUGUAAUCCUUACAACGUUUUGCCAUGAAAGCUUAUUUAAAGACAGCAUAGUUUCUGAUUAGACUAACCAGAGAAGGGCAUUCCUCAAUGCAUUAUGACUACUUUCUGCAUUGCUUUAAUUCCUCUCUCUCUAUGAUAUUCAUAUCCCAAGACCCUAUUUCUUGAUCUUUCUUUGCUUCUUUGGUCCUGGAACCUCCAACCUGCCUACAGAACAUCCACACCUGGCUCGGAAUACGAGCACCGCUCGUCCAUUAACGGGUGCCAUCUUCUUAAGUUCAGCUUCCAAUUCCUUGUGAUGAUCGCGGGGCAAUUCGAAAAGCCCUUUCUUAACACCAUCUUUAACCAAAGUGCAGGAAUUCUUGACACAUUCCUCAGUUUCCAACUGAAUAUCGAAUUCGGCCGCCUUCCUAAGCCCUUUACAGUUAGGGUUCCUGCAUUUCUUGGUUGUACAUAGAAGCAAAAUCCAAGCAGCUAUUGCAGCACAAGAAAAACCAAGUCCUAUGGACCCAUAUAUCAUAGGAGCUCUCAUAAUUUCCUCACCAAUAACGUAAAAGGCAGUUCCAAUGAAUCCAAUCAAUUUCAAUGAUAGACACUUUAUAGUUGGAUACAACAAGAAUCCACAAGCAGCGAUCACAGCAAUCAAGAUGACAACAUCAAUGGCAGCGGAUCUUGAUCUUUCACAAGAUGGAAUCUUUAAACAACUUGGUGAAUUGAAUACCUUUUGUUUCUUGUAAAGAUUGUUUCUUGACGACGACGACGACGAUUUGUUGUUCAUCACAAGAUCAUUUGAAUUCACAGAACUUGCCAUGAUCGGAGCUGAAGAAGCCUGGUCAACCGAGUUGCAGACUGAGAUAGAGUUACGGAAAUAGACCAUUUCAAAUCAAACCCGGAAUUUUUAAAUCCAAAAAUAAGGAGAACCCAAAUUGAAACUCCUAUAAAUUUCCCUCCAACCCAAACGCCAAAUCCAGAUCAAACCCACCUCAUAAAAGCUUAAAAAGGAAACAACUUUAUUACUUCCACCUCAAUAUCACGUAAUUCAGUUUGUAUCCAAAUGAAAAAAUUCCUAGGAAAAAAGAAAAACACAAGAAGGGGAAAGUUUGAAUCACAAAGGAAAAUGAGAUUUGAGAUUGAAUUAAAAGGACGAAAAAGAAGAAAUGGAAUGGAUUUAAUUAAAGAAAGGCCGGCUAUGGAGAGGGAUAGAAGGGGGACAAAUGAAGAGUCAUUUUAGUUUUUAUCCUUCUGGCAUUAUUAUUUGUUUUAUCACAAAAUUUUGUUGGGGAAAAGCUUGAUUUGUUUCCGAUGUUGUAAAAGGGAGACUCAGACACGUUUGAAGAAAGAAAGCAAAUCAUUUUGGUGGGUGGGCUUUUGACUAUAGGAAUGGGCUCAACUUUGCUUUUCCAAUCAUGUCUUCAUCAUUUGUCUCUUUUUUCUCUUCAUUUCUUUCGGAUUAAAAUGCAGGUUUUUUACUACAGGUGAUUACGUAAUUCAGAUUAGGCUCUUUCCACCGCCAACUUAAUUUUAGAAAAUACUAUAAACCAAUUUUAAAUAAACAUCAUCAUUUGUUUUUUAAGUUUAGGAGUAUAAAUACAAUACAUAUUCACAUCAACACUUGAUGUGAGCCACUUAACUCAUGGUUGAGUCCAAUAUGGGCCAAGCAUGACCGAGUUUGCAAAGUUGAAAACAUUAGAUGGAAUUAACUUUAAUGUGAUAGUAGUACUCUUAAAUUUGAAUUAAUAUAAUUAUAAAUGUGAACAUUCUCCAUUAUUCAGUGUAAAUUAGAUGAAGAUGCAUGGAACUAAAAUUAUUAAACCAAAAUUAAUGAAUUCAGUUGGUUGGUUUUAGGAAGUGGCUACACCAUAAACCCUAAACACAACUCUAACCUCAAAUCAUUUCUUUUAUCAAUUUAAACUUAAUUCUAUAUAAAAAUUCUAGAAAAUUAAAAUAUUAAAUAUGUUAUUGACGAACUAAUAUAUUUAGGAAAUAAACAAAAUUAUAAUCCAAUAACAUUUUGAAAAUAAAAUUAGUAAUAUCUUCAAGUCGAGUUAUCUGCCAUUGAAGAACACCCAAAACUGACAUUUUAAAUGCUUGUGAAAUCAACUUUGAUACCAUUCUUAUAUUAAAAAAUACCACAAAAAUUUAUUUUUUUCGUACUCAAGUCAUUUAAAUUAAUUUUCAAAACCCAAAUAAAAAGAAAUUUUAUUUUGAUUCUUUUAUUUUCUUAUAAUCACAAUGCUAUGUCAAACAACAAAAGAGGUAAAAAAAAACAAAGAAUCAAUAAUUUUACUUAAUGUUUUUACUUUUUUUUUUAUUUUUUUUAAAGAACGAGUAUUAGAUGUUUCUAUACAAAUAAUAUUGAGAGAAAUUUUGGAGGAUUUAAAAAUAAUUUUUCUUAAUUUUCUCUCACGUUAUCUAUAUUUUAAAUUAUUAUAUCCUUUUAUUUAGUUUUUAAUUUUUAAAUUUUUCUAAUUUUUUAAAAAGAAUUUCAUUUUAUAUAUAACAAUGGUCAAAAUUAUAGAAAGUAUACAAAUUAAGGGCUAAAAUUGUUAUUAUACCAAUUAAAAAAGUGUCAUUUAAUGGUUGGGUGACAAAAAAUAAUUUUAAGAAUAUUAGUGGUAAUAUUGUAAUUUUUUAGUUAAAUGACAAAAACAAAAACUUACUUAUAGUUCAGUGAUUAAAAAUGUAGUUUACUUUUUUUUCUAAUUAAACCUAAUAUCCACUAUAAUCGCAUUAAAUUGGGGAUGAUUCCCGAUUCUUAUCUAUAAAUUCAAAAAACUAAAUAUUUUUUAAUAGUAAAAUCGAUAAAAACAGCCGUUUUAAUUAAAUAGGUUAAAAUGUGAUGUUAAUUUUGGAUUUUUGAUAAAAAUUGAGAUUUAAUCUUUAUACUUAAAAAAAUCAAGUUUUUUUAUUUAAUUUUAAAAUCUCAAUCAAACCAAUAACUUUGUUAGCAUUUUUCAUCAAAUUUUGUCAAUUUAACAAGUUGAUUAGACUGUCUUCGUAUAGCGUGACUUAUUAUUGACAAAACUUUAGAAAUAAAACCAACUUUCGAAUUAGACAAGCUCGGAUUUCCAUCGUCGAUUGUUAGAUCAACCCAAUUUUCUAAUAUAUGCUUAUUCUCUCCGGUACCUCGCUCCUCAUCGUUCAAUUUUGUGGACCAAUACUUGGAGGGCCACAAACCUACCAUAGGCCAGACCUAAGUUUUUAGGUUCUUGUUCUUUGAUUUCUUCUUCUCUCUUUUCUUUUCUCUAUGAUUUUUUUUGUUUGACUAUUUCUUGCUUCAUUGUAUGUUGUGUUUAGUGUUGGAUUUAAUUAAUAAAGGGUCAUUGGUUGGCGAGGAGAGUUAUUGAGACUUUGUGAUGGUUGAAUGAUGAUAUUGUGAAAUAAAAUAAUGUUUGGAAGGAAGAAAAAUGAAGGGAAACAAGAAAAAAGAGAAAAAAAGAAAAACUGAUGGGCUUGGGAGAGAAGAGGGAAGCAAGAAAAGUUAGGUUUAAUGAUGUAUUUGUGUGGGAAAAUUGAAGGAGAUUGAUUCGAAUUUUGUUGGUUCUUGAUUUUGGGGUUUGGAUAUUGAAAGCAGGAAAAAAAGAAAAAAAGAAAAAGAAAAUAAUCUAAUGGAACUUUAGGAAAUAAUUAUUUUAAUCAAUGCAAAAAAAGAAAAAAAAGAAAGGGUGUUGUAUGACAAUCCACGUGGGCGUUAUGUGGCAAAUUAAUAUGCGACAUCAUACUCUCGUUGUAACAGCCCAAUUUUUAGUGGUGUCAGAAACAGUGAUUCAAGACCACUAAAUCCGAUAAGUGAGCUCGUAAAUUUUAUUAUAUAUUGUUUAUGAGUCGAUUGUGAAUUUAGGAAGGCUUAUAAAUCAGUGAAUUAUGCUUUAGAAAUAUUUGUUAGAUUAAUUAGUUUUGAAAACAAUGUAUCGAGACCUCGAUUUUAUAAACCGAGCUGUAAAUAUUUUUAUAAAUAUUUACGGAGUGUCAUUAAGGUAGUAUUAAAGUUUCGUUAGAAAAUUUUAUCGUUUCGAUAGUUAAUUAAUUAAAAAAGACUAAAUUGAAAAAUGUGCAAAACUUGCUAAACUGAUUAAAUAGCAUAAAUGGUAAAUGAUGGAGGACUAAAAGGGAAAUUAGACACCCAAGUAAUGGCUGAGGCGUCAUAAGCAGAAAAAAAUCUUGGAAUUAGGUGAUUUAAGGGUAAAAUUGUAAAUUUGGUAAAAUUAAGCUUAAAUAAAAAGAAAUCUAAAGAUUGCUAGGCAAUUCUUCUUCAAUUCUCAGCCAAAAACAGCCAUUAGAGAGCUGCUUAAUCUGGAUUUUAUAUUUUUACUUCAUGUAAGUUUAAUUCUUGCUUUUCUCUUGAAAUUUUUAUGUUUUUGAGAAUUUUACAAUUAGGUCCAACUAUCUAAUUCAUUAGUUUUUAAUUCUGUGGGUAAUUUUGAAAGUUUCCAUUGAUGAGUGCUAGAUGUUUAUGAUGAAUUAACAUGGAUUUGAAGUCUUAAUUUUGUUAUAUGGAGAUUUUAUCAAGUAAUUUCAAUAGAAAUUGAUUUUAGGACUAAAUUGUGAAAAAAUUAAAUCUUAGGGUUUGGUAUUAAAAUUUGUUUAUUAAUGGCUGUGUAAUAGAUUAUAAUAUUUAGAUAAAGUGUUAAUUGAGAAAAUUUAUCUCAUUUUAUGAGUUAAUUGGUGAGGGACUAAAUUGCAAAAAUUGUAAAAGUUGGGGUAAUUGUGUAAUUUCAAGUUUUGAGGGGUAUAAAUUGUGAAGUGGAUUAAAUUGAAAUAUAUGCUAAUGAAUGAAAAAUUGUACAUUCUAGAUCAAAAGCUCGUAGAUCAACGAGAAAAAGGGAAAUUAGCCUAGUCUCUGAACUAUUAUCAAUUUUACAAUCCAACCCAGGUAAGUUCAUAUGGUUAAACUUUCAUGAUUAUUUUUCAAUUUAGGAAUUGUAUAGUAUAUUUAUUCAUAUUUUGUUGUUUAAAUUAAGAUUAUUGUAAAAGUAUGAAAAUUGAAUUGAAUGUUUAAAACGACUAGAACGCAGGAUUGAGUACGAUCGUUCUGUGGCAAAGAAUGAAUUGACGGAUAAGACCAUGGUUGGACCAUGGCAAUGUUUAAAUGUAAGACCAUAGCUGGGCUAUGACAUUUUAAUGAAAAAAAAAACCAUAACUGGGUUAUGACACCUUGAACGUAAGACCAUAGUUAGACCAUGGUAGUAUAGAUACAUGUGUAAGACCAUAGCUGGGUUAUGACAUUCUGAUGAUAAGACCAUAACUGAGUUAUGGCACUAGAAAUGUAAGACCAUGGCAGUGUCAUGACAAUGCAUAUGUAAGACCAUAGUUGGACUAUGGCACAAAAAGAACGAUGUACUCAUAUCUGUAAGCCGUUCUUCGAUUCAGUAAGAAAUGAUAACAGACUUAUGUGAUUGAAUUGAAAGAUUUGUAAAUUAUUAUUGAUAUUGAUCUAGAGGAAGUGUGUUUAUUGAUUAUGUUGUAUUUGACAGGGAAUAAUGUAUGAUUUAUUUACAAUUUAAUUUAUUCUAUUAUAUUAAGUUCAGUAAGAUCAAUGUUUAACCUAUUGAAUUUACUAAGCUUCAUUAAACUUACUCGUGUUGUUUAAUGUUCUUGUAGAUUAACGUGUAGUCGGAAGAUCGGACCAACACAUCAAGCUACACUAUCCAAUUUAUUCUAGUAGUUUUUGCAAUGUAAAUUUUGGUUUAUAUGGCAUGUAUAGAGUUGGUUUGGCAAUGAAAUAGUUUGAAUUGUGGUUGUGAAUAUUAAAUGUUUGUAUGCAUGUAAUUAGUAGUAGAAUUUGAUAAAUCAAUGAAAUGAGUUAAAUAGGUAGGUAUAAGUAAAUGAAAUAUUUGUGAUGUUAUGUCAUGUUGAGAACAUGUUUUAGCUUGUAUUGAUUGCUUGGUUAGGAUAUAUUGGUGUAUGUGAAAGUUGAGUACAGGUUAAUGUCAAAAUGGGUGAGAAAAAUGGCCUUAAAAUGGCCUAUUUUUGUUCACACGGGUAGAGACACGGGCAUGUGUCCCCUGCUUCUAAUAAAAUUUUUGAAAAUUUGAGAGAAAUUCCCUGAGUACCCAGUUUAGUCCCGAUUCUCUUCUAAGGUGAAUAUUGGGCCUCUAAGGUCCAUCUAAGGGACAACAUGAGUGUUAUAUAAUUGAUUCCUAAUAUGUGCAACAAAAAUUGGGAAAUGUCCAUAUUUAAUUCGUAAAGUUCGGUAAUGCUCCGUAACCCUGUUUCGGUAACGGAUAAGGGUUAGGGGUGUUACACUCGUUAUUCUAGUAGCGACAUAUAACUGUUAAGUGAUUGUUUCGUAAUAAUCCAAUAAUGUUGCAAAUUUAAAAAUUUUAAAUGUUCAGUGGUUGAGAUGUAAUUUUAAUCUAAAUCAAUGGACAAUUGGUGUAGCUUACCCACUAAAUUUUUAACCGAUAAAACUAAUCCUUAUAUUAAGUAGAUUAUUUGUUCUUAUAACUUGAGAAAUAAAAGCAUGAAUUUAGAAAAGCAUUUAAAUAGGUGAAAAUAUAUUUUAUUUUCCAUCAUAUUACUAAAUCACAUUUAAAAUUAAAUAUAAUAUUUAAUUUAUAAUUAUUAGUUAAAAAACUUGACGUAAAAUAGAAGUUUUGUAAUGAUACAUUUAAAAUUAAUAUAAUUUAAUAAAAAUUGUGAUGAUUACACAUUUAAAAAUAAAAUAAUAUAAUAUAAUUUACAAUUAUUGUUUAAAAAGUUUGAUAUAAACAAAAUUUUACUAAUUUUAAAAUAGAAUUAUUACUCAACAGAACUCUAAGAAAAAAGUUGUGAUAAUUAUAAUUAUAAUUAUUAAUUAUUAAUUAAAAAUAAUUGUGAUAAUUUUAACAUUAUUAUAAGAAUGACUUCUUUAUUUAAAAAAAAAAGUUACACUAAUUCUAUUUACGUAAAAUCGAAUUAUUAAUUGAAUAAAACUUUAAGCAUCUUAAUUAUAACUUAAUUAGUAUAGAGUUGUAUACAAAUUAAAAUUUAACUUUAUUUUUUUAUAUAGUAUUCGGUAAUUAAGUAUAUCCAAUCAAGUAACAUUUUAAAAAAAUUACCGGUAAAAAAAUAGAGAUUGCAAGCAACAGUAAAUUAGAAUUAUAUAAAAGAAGAAUGGAGCAUUAAAGUUAUGAUUCUUCGAAGAGACAAUAUCUAAAAAUAUUCGAACAAUAAUGACACUAGAGACAGAUAGAAUAUUAUUUUAAUUGAUGUUAGGUAAUAUAAUACUCUGAUAUCAUCUUUUUAAAAAAAUUAUAAGUUGUUUAUACUAUGCGUGGUAAGCAAUCCUAAAAUUAUUUUUUAUUUAUCCAUUAUUUGCUUGUAGCAAGUGCAAACCAUUACGUGGAUUUGUUUUGAGAAAAAAUUUAAAGUUAAACGAUUGUUUUGUAAUCAUUAUUAAUUUAGUGUAAAUAUCAUCUGUAUUUAUUUUAUUAUAUAAUUUCAAAUCUGUAUAUUAUUUUAAUAAUUUAAUUUAAUAUUUUUUUUCUAUUUUAAAACGUUAUUUUAUUCUCAAUUUUUUCAAAUUUGGUAUAAAUUAAACUAAUCCUCAUUUAAUUAUCAUAAAUAUAUAUUUUAAAAAUUAAAAAUAUAUAUUAUAUAAUUAAAAAUACAUAAAAUCACGUGUGUUAAACAAUAAUAUGAUUUAAACAAAAGCCAAAUGACUUUAGUUUGUGUAUUUAAACAAAAAAAUAUAUUUCAUAUUUUAAAAUUUCAAUUAAAUAUGUUUGAUUAAAUUUUAUUAUAAAUAUUGCAUUAUGCUUAAAGUUCUAAAUUUAAUCCAUAUUUUUCAAAUUGAUCAUUCUUAGACCCUAUUUUUCUAAAAAGAAAUCAAUUUUAUUUUAAUUUUCUCUCAUAUAUUUUCCAUUUUUUGUCAACCCUUGAAUAUUUUGGGUUAUGAUUGAAAUUCUAAUCUUAAAAGAACCCGACUAUGAAAAUUAAAACUACAACUUGUACAUAAUAUUUAACUCUUUUGAAAAUUUAAUUUACAAAAUUUCAACCGAGUAAGUGCUGGGCCAAAAGGUGGUAAUUGCUAGACUUGAUCCAAUGGCAUAUUUUUGUGACUUUUGUUAUUCAUAGAGAUGUCUUUUCAACUCAGGGUGUGUUUUUGGAUUAUCUAUAAUUCCUUCAGGGGAUUGAAAUUAAAUUGUCAUUUCUAUGAUAAUAAAAAUAUAAUUUCAUCAUUUUAAUAGCCUAUACCUUUAUAAUUUUUAAAGGAUUAAAUCAAAUUUUUUAUAUUUUAAGGGGUCAGAGUAUAAUUUUAUAUUUAUUAAUUUAAAAAUUAAAAAAAACUUCAUUUUGAGGGAGCCAACCCCUACAAACCCCCUUAGUUUCGUCCCUGUAUAAUACGUACCCAUUAAGAUUGCAUUUUAUUUAUUAAUUCAAUGAAUUAUUAAAACAUUCAUGGUAUGAGUAUUACUGCCAAAAUCCAUAGAAAUAAAUAAUUCUCUAAACAGCGAUUUAUAAUUCCUCAAAACCAUCAACUAUGUUUUUGUUUGCUUAUCUAUAUUAGUUUCACUUCUAUUCUUUCAAGUUAUCAACGGUGGAUCUUACAGCACUUUGAUGAUCAAUUGAAGUUUUCUCUUUUUUUAUUCCAACACCCUUAAAUUAUUAUUUAAAUUCUACAUUGGGCCAUAAACUUCAAAACAUUUUAAUUAAGUUUCAAUAUAUAAAUAUUGUAUGAAUCUUCUCCUUUCGUUAGCCCAGACGUAUUAAAUAUAGCAUAGAACAUAUUUAGAACACGUAGAUCAAAUUGUAAAUGCAUAUAUAUGCUAUCACGUAGAUAAUUAAGAUCCAUCAUAUUAAAAAUAGACAGUGCACACGAAUUUAUAAUUUGAUUAAGGUAUUUUAACAAAUAUUUAGGCUUAAACUAAUAAUUAAAUUAACAAAAAGACUUAAUUAACAAUGUAGUAAUGCGAGUUAAAAUAAUUAAAAAAUAAAGGGAUAGUUGGAGGAAUAAUAAAGCCGAAAUUGAAAUGCUUUAUAAAUGUGAAUAUUUUUUAUGAUAUAAGAGGUUGGGGAAAAGUGGACAACUUGUUGAAAAUUUGGUGGAGACAAGGAAACAUAUAGAAAAGUCAUUUCUGGUGACAUUGCAAGCUCUUUAUUUAAUUUAUUUCUUAAUAAUCCUAAUUUGGUUCACCAAAUCAAAAUCUCACACGAGUAAAGGCCGUAUAAAAUAUAUGCUCUAACCUUUUUGGUAGAUUACACGUGUCAACACCAAAGCAAACCUCCACUCUACAAGGAAAAUUCUCAGCCACGAGAAGAAAAAGAUUCUUUAUUUGCUCUUUUUUGAUUUCUUUUUUACGGAAAAUUGCUUCACACGUGUCAAACCAACACGUGUAAGCAAAUUAAAGGGAGAAAAAGAUUUUUAUUAUUAUUUAUUAAUUAAAAACUUUAUAUUUUCUGAAUCGUUGGCAUGGCCUUUUUUUCACUUUACUUUUUUUUUUAGAGUUGGGGUCCACAUGAGAAUAUGAUGCUGAUGUGGCAAAAAUUUGUGAGCCUCACAAUUCGUUGGUGGGACCCAUCACAUGCGGAGCUUAAAAAAUCGGACGGUGACAUGGAUUUUAAAAAAAAAUAUUUCUAUGGGUUUAAUACUUCCCGUGGAAUUUAAAGUCGGACGAAAUUAUUAAAAACUCGUCAAAAAAUCGGAUAAUGCUUGAAAAGCGCUUUUUCUUUUUCCUAAUUAUUUUUUCAUUGCUUUUCACGCAGUUGUAUUUUUUUUUUUAACCACGGUGGUUGACUUGUGAAUAUUUUCUAUUUAUUUUUAAAUUCUUAAAGAAAAAAGAAAAAAAAGAGUGGAGCAUAUGAAGAAAAGUAGGAUUUUCUUUUCAUUGCUCUUUUAAUAUUUUGAUAUGAUGCUUGAUUCUUGUAGAACCUCAUCCACAUUUAACACACCCAAGACAAAUAUUAAGUUUGGGAUUUUUUUAUUAUAGAAAAAUACAUAUUAAUAAGGGGAAUAAAUUAAAUAUUUAAGUUGGUAGUUUAAGAACUUGGUUUAUCUCACAUGUAUGAGUAAAGAGAUAUAAGAAGCAAUAACCUUAUGAACCAUAGAAAAAAGAUAUGAAAAGACUAGGAAGUGGAGUAAUGGGCCAACUUAUAAUAUCAACCACAAAAUAACCCAAAGAAAAAAAAAGAAGUAUAGUUGGCAAUACCAAAAAGUUUGGCAUGGAAUUGAAUGGAAAUUAGCUUGAGGUAAAAAGGAGAGAAAAAAAAAGUACAAAGAAUAUUUAAGAUAAAGAAGAAGAAAAAACUUAUUAGUAUUAAAUUGUAAGACAUUUGAAUAUUAUACUCCAAUAAUAUUAAUAUUAAUGUUGUUUUUUUAGUAUAUUAACAUAAAAUUUUUAUUAUUUCACAUUAGAGCCAAUGAUAAAAAUGAAGUCGAGUUUCCAACCAAUCAACAAUUUGCAUUAACAUUUGAAAGGCGUGAUUUGAUAUUUAUUAGAAAAAAAAAGGAAAAAUAAAUGCUGACUAGGAUAAUGCAACAUAAAACAAGUGAAAGGAAAAAGGAAGUUAUAUAAAAGAAAAAGAAAAGAAAGAGAAAGAUCUUUUAAGGCCACAAAGGAACUUGUGGAUGAAAAUUUACCUGCAUGCUGACGUGGCAUAUCAACUUGUUUAAACAAAUCAAAAACGUAGACUCCACGAGACCAUCAUCGAUUAUACCCCCUUUUUUCCCCUUACAACCAAAUAUUAAAAUUACAAGAUAGGGUAAUGACCAAUUUAAUUUAUGCUUUCAUUUAAAAACACACUCUUGGUUUGAUUAGAAAAACUAAAAACAACACAAGGGAAAAUUCUUAUUUCGAAUACUUUUGAUCUAUUUAUUUUUAUUUAAAUCUACUUCUUUAUUUUUAAUUAAAUUCUAUGAUGCCAAGUUUGAAUUUUUGUGAAUUAGGUUUUGUUAAAGUUUAUACAUUGAAACUGUCAAAAUGAACAAAAAUUUCCUUUUUUUUCUUAACAGGAAAACAGUACAUUUCAUAUUUUAAAAUUAUGAAUUAUUAUUAUUAUAAUUUAAAAAUUAUUUCAACAACAAAUGUUUACUCAUUAAUAUAUAAAUUGUAAUAAAAGUAAUAAUUAUUAUAAUUUGAUGAAAAUGAAGACUAAAAAUUAUUUAAGGAGCUGAACUUAUUAAAAGAAAUUCUAUAAUAAGGACAAUUUAGUAAAACGUAUUUCUCCAUAAUUUUAUUUCCAUUAAUCAAACAUAAAAAUAAUACAUUCCAAUCAAAUAAUAUACCCAACAUUCGACUCUUAAUUUUACAGUUUGAUAAUAAUUUUAUAUUUAUUAAAUCAAACUCCCUCUCUUAAUGCAAAUAUUAGCAAGUUUUACAUAAGAUAAUUCAUGUAUUUAUCUUAGUAUAUUUUUGUUUAUGGUUGUAUCUAAAUUAUAAAGUUUCUAUUAUAUUAGUUUUGCUAUAUUUAUAUAUAUUAAGUCAUGUUGUAAUUAAUUUUUUAUGUAUAUUUUAUUUGUUUUCACGCAAGCAGCUAAUAUUUUUAGUGCUUGACCUUAUUUCGCAAUUUCGCUUGCUAUUUUUAUUCUUGCAAACCCACCCACCAGAAACUAAGAAAGAGAGAGAGAGAGAAAAAGUAAAAACUAUUUUCAAGAAAGAAAGAGAGAAAAGCAUUAUAAAGUUGAUUUUUUUCCUCUUAAAUUUUUUUGAUGACAAUAAAAAGUUUGUAUCAUAGUAGUCAGCUUGUGCUACAAAACUUUCUCUCUCUAGAAAGUUUCAGUUUUUAGUUUUGUGUUGGCUAAGGAUUUUAUAGAGGAAAAAAAGGAAAAAAAGAAAAGACACAGAGAGAGAAAAAAACAGGGGAGAUAACAGAAAAUGUCGGAACCAAAAGAUCCGGCGAUCAAAUUGUUUGGGAAAAUGAUCCCUUUGCCUGAGAAAUCUCCUAAAGUAGCAACAGCGGACUUUUGUGCUACUUGUGGUGAUGAUAACACCAACAAUGAUAAUACUGAUCAUUCUUGUUCUACAAAUUCUUCACCAGAGGAAAACAAAGGGGAAGAGAGAGAAGCUGAAAAGGUAAGGAAAAUUUUAUUUUCUUUUCUUUUUGGGAAAUUUGAGGAAUACCCAUAGUUUAGAAUAUGGAAAUGAAAAAUGGGUUGGUCUUUGAUUCUUAGUUUUUACUAUAAAAAUGGUUGGCUUUUGAAUGUUAAUGAUGUGUGAUUAUUAGGAGAUUGGUUAAAUUUUGGAUCUUGGUUUAAGUAAACAUGAGGUUUUUGGAAGUUAAAAUUGGUCUUGUAGAUGUAUUUUCUUAACCAUAAUCCAAUUGUUCAUCAUAAAAUCUUGGUUAAUUGCUUUUAGAUUAAGUUUGGUUGGCUGUGUUCAUAAGAGUAGCUUGCUUCCUGAGUACUAAGUUAGAGUUCUCCUUUUUCAUGUUUUUGGCAUUUAAUGGAGUUUUUCUUUUACUGCAUCAUUUUGGAAAAUGGUUUUGGAAUCUGAUUCAUGGUUUCAUUUUUCUGGGAAAAUUUUCUGGCUAGCUUCUUUGGAAUUGAUAGUUUACCUUGACAUGAAUUAUAUGUCAUACUUCCAAUUAUUUCAUCAAGUUUAGCUUGGGAAUUGUGAGAGAUGUUAUCUGGAUCUCUUUUCACUGAGGAUCAUCAGCUAUGAUUAGGGUUUUAUGUUCUGAUCCAGCAAAAGCUCAGUCUUUCUGGAAUCAGACUUCUAGUCCCCAUCCCUGUAGAAAGUUACAACCAGUUCUAAUUGAUUCUUAGCCCUACUAAGCUUUCCGUGUUUGUAUAUUGUUUGUGCCGGUUACAUAGUUAAUCUUUCUGGAAUCUGACUUCUACUCCUCAUUCCUGUAGAAAGUUACAACCCGCUUUGACUGAUUCUUAGCCCGAAGUUCUUAAGCGACUUCUCUUAUGUAAUUUCUAUGAUAGUUGUUAGAAUGGUGGUUGCUAUUGCUGUGAAACUGAUUCUCCACAAAGCAAACGCAAGAAAAUGACAACAAAAUGCAGUUAGUUUGGAUAUGCUUUGUUCCUUCUUGUUAUGUAUAAUAUGAUCAUGUUUAUUUUUCUUCAUACGAAUUAUUCAGGACACUGUGGGAGCCAAAACAACGGAUGUUGAACAUGAAGUUGCAGAUAGAAAGGAGGAGGAGGGAUCUAAACAGGAUGAUGGUGCUCCUCCAGUUACUUCUGGAGAGUCCACAAAUUUGGAGGCAAACUCUGGAGCAAGUGACAACUCUAAAACGCCUUCUGCCGAGAAGGAGAGCACUGCUUUAAAAACUUCAAAAACAGAAGAGGAUCAAAGCGAGACCAGUAAUCCGCAAGAAAAAACCUUGAAGAAACCUACUAAAAUUCUUCCAUGCCCCCGCUGCAACAGCAUGGAUACCAAGUUUUGUUACUACAACAAUUACAAUGUCAAUCAACCUCGACACUUUUGCAAGAACUGCCAGAGAUACUGGACAGCUGGUGGGACCAUGAGAAAUGUUCCUGUGGGUGCUGGACGUCGCAAGAACAAGAAUUCAGCUUCUCACUACCGUCAAGUAACUGUCUCUGAAGCUCUGCAGAAUGCUCGUAUUGACAUUCCUAAUGGAGUCCACCAUCCGGCACUAAAAGCUAAUGGUACUGUUCUGACCUUUGGCUCAGACGCACCCCUCUGUGAAUCAAUGGCUUCUGUUUUGAACCUUGCAGAUAAAACAAUGCAUAAUACGACACGGAAUGGGUUUCAUAGGCCUGAAGAGGUAAAAAUUCCUGUCUCUUAUAAGGAUGGAGAAAAUGGGGUUGAGUGUUCAAAUGGAUCAUCUGUCCCGACUUCAAAGGAUGAGGCAGGUAAAUCUGGGUUGCAAGAUCAGAUGAUGCAGAAUUGUCAGGGUUUUCCACCUCAGAUGCAAUGCUAUCCCGGGGCUUUUUGGCCUUACCCGUGGAAUUCAGCUCAAUGGAGCUCUCCUGUACCUCCACCUCCACCUGCUUUCUGCCCUCCAGGUUGCUAUCCGAUGCCAUUCUAUCCUGCAGCUGCUUACUGGGGCUGUACUGUACCUGGCACUUGGAACGGCCCUUGGCAUCCUCAGCCUUCCCCUUCAAAGCAAUCAGCCUCAAGUUCCGGUCCUGAUUCCCCCACCUUAGGAAAACAUUCAAGAGAUGAGAACACGAGCAAACCAAGCAACUCUGGAGAAGAGGAGCAAGUGAAGGAAAAUAAUGCAGAGAGAAGCCUUUGGAUUCCAAAAACAUUGAGGAUCGAUGAUCCGGGAGAAGCAGCAAAGAGUUCUAUAUGGGCAACACUCGGCAUUAAGAAUGAUAAAUCCGAUUCAAUAGGUGGUGGAGGACUGUUCAAAGCAUUUCAAUCAAAGGGUGAUGAAAGGACUGAGGUUCCUGAAACCUCUCCAGUCUUGCAGGCAAAUCCAGCAGCAUUGUCAAGAUCAAUAAACUUCCGUGAGAGCUCAUAAUCGUGUAACUUUAUGACAUUUACUUGCUUAUGGUGCUGCAUACAGCUUGGUGGUGUUAAUUAUUAUACAAAUCCAAACCUACUCUGUUAGCCGCUUGGUCAUAUUCACUCACCAUCCCCUCUAUAUAACCAAUUCUCAAAGUAUGCUAACUGAGGAGAACAGAAGAAGAGUCCUAUCAUAUGGUUUGAAGGCAGAGUGUCUAGCUAGCUUAAGUAGAAACUGAUUUUUCUUCCUUUUGUUUUUUGGGGGUUUAAUUUUGUUUUUGGGAUUCCUUUUUCUUUCCAUUGAUGGUAUGAGCAGGGUUUGCGAGUUCUGUACAUAAAUAUAUAUAUAUAUAUAUAUGAAAUGGUGAGAGGUAGGACCAAGUAAGUUUCUGUACCAUAAAUCCCACUUGUAGUUAAAUAAAUUUGGGAACUCAAGUUAAUCUUCUUAUUCUCUUAAUCUUAAUGUCUUUUUUUUUUUUUUUUUUGAUAAUGUUGGCUGAGUCUACCUUACUUUUAUUUUCUAAAGAUCUCUCAUGAACUGAUAUAUAGAAUCCAUUGUAAUUGCAACUAUGCUCUAUUUCUUCUACACACAAUUGGAUCGAAGUAGCUUUCCCUUUCCAUAACAUAGGUAGAACAGAAACAGGACGCAACUUGGAAGAUAGAGAAAAGUCCAUGUAGGCCCUUCUUUUACAGUUCAACUUGAAUCCUUAUCGCAAAAGGCCAAGUACCUUUCCCUUUCCAUAACUAUAGAAUCCAAACAACUAGCACCAAAAGGUAGAAAGUUUAUCUUAAAGUUUCUUUCUUUUUGUUUCCUCUAAUCCUUUAUUUUUUUUCCCUUUUAAAGAAUUCAGUAAUAUUUAGCAAUUGUGGGUGUUUUCCCUGUCAUAUUUGUGUUUAAUAUAGAUUCUAUAUAUGGUGAUAUAUUCUUUUUGUGUGUGUGUUAACCGUUGAUUUAUGUCUACUACAACAAAAUAUCAUGUAUAAUGUGUCAGGAGACUAGAGCUUAGACCAUUAAAAAAAAGACAUGGAGAUAUUUUGAUUUGUUUUUUUUCCCCUGAAAAAUUUGGGUUCUAUUUGAGCCAUGAACUGGUUAUGGGACCCAAAACAUGUGAUGCUAUUAAUACUCUUGGCCUUCUCUGUUCUUUCUGUUUCUUUGCCUUUUUCUUAUCUAGUAAAUCUUGCAGUUCUUUUCCCCAUCCCUGUUUUGCUAUUCCUUUUUUUGGUCUGGAUUGCAAAUUAAGACUUGUUGCAUUCCAGGUCUUAAAAGCUAGAAGUAUCAACCAAUUGGGCUAAACUCAACUUCUUUGUUUACUUUUUUUUUUUUUUUCCCUUUUCCUUUUAGCAAAAGAAAUUGUAGUCCGGAAAUCAAGAUUCGAAUCCAAAUUUAUAAAAUUUUAACUUUUAGGAUAUGAGCUAAUUAAAUAAAAGCCCGAACUCGAUUCUUUGUAUGUAUAUAUAUAUUAGUGCAAAAGAGAUCAUGGUCUUGAAAUUUAACCUAAAACUCAUUAAACAUCAUUACCUAGAUUAAAAGCAGCGGUAUGAAUGAAGUGAAUUCAAGAUGAUCUCAAUAUUUCAUUUUGGGUCACAUAUCAGAUGGAAACUUUUGUUGGAUAAUGCAAUUGCUGGAUUAUGUGCACUUCCUAUAUCUGCCAGUAGAUAUUUUGGGUUUUUGAUUUCUGAUAUUGUCACAAGGGAAUCUUAACCAAAUAAUGUUGGGUUUAUUUCCCUCUUUGUGAGAAAGGCCAACCAUCUACUAUCUCCAUUUUCAUCCACAUUGAAUUCUAAAUUUUUAUGAGAGUACAAUUAAAAUUUUAUAAUUUUAAGAUUAUAGGUUUUAAAGGGACCACAACCAAAAAUUUCCAAUUUAAAGGGCCAGGGCCGCCGCUUUUGGAUUUUAUCGGUUCCAUUUGAAUUAUCUAUUUAAUAUAAAAUCAAUUUAGUACAGACUUUGAAAAAGAUGGAAAAAUGACCUAUGACUGGCCAUAAUUCAUAGCCACAAAACCCUUGGAUGUGAUUCUAAAUACUGCUAACCACAUGUAAAUAAACCCUACAUAUAUAGUGUUUUUAAGCAUCCCCAUAAUCAAUGGUCAAUCAUAAAUAAAUCUUAUUAUUAAAUUGGAUUGAUACAAUUAACAAUUCCUAAAUUGUUUUCUUUAAAAAGUACAGCUAAAUCAAUCAUAGGGUUUUGGGAUUAAAAAGUCAACCUUAAGGUUAUAGUAUUUUAAAGAAGGGUUUUGAUUUAAUUUAUCAAAACUAAUAUUAAUUUCUUCAUUAAUAAGAGUUUUGAUUUAACUUAUGAACUGGACGUACCUAACUUUCUCUUCUUCUUUUUUUUUUAAAAUUUUAACUUAUUCAACUAUAACCAACCAUUUUUAAUUCAUAUAAAUAAUUAUUAAUUUUAUUUAUAUUUUUUAAUUAAAGGAUGUAAUUCAGUAAUUUACUAGAAAUACGAGAUAUUGUGAACAACAAUAAACCGAUUAGAAAUUAUCUAAACAAAGUUGGUUGAAGGUAAAUACAAAUAGGAUAUACUAAGAUUAUUUAGGUUUUACAACUGCAAACAAAGGCGAAUUUAGAGAGGCAGGCAAGACAAGGACAUUGACUCUCGUAUAAAUGGGAAAUUUAAAUAUAUAAUAGAAAAAACAACCAAGAUAACUUAUCUGAAAAUUUUGAUAAUAUAUCAUUACUUUUCACUUUUCUCUCUUAUUUGGAGUCCCCAAUAGGUUGUCUUUAACAAACAUGGGUUCUGUAGCAAAGCACUGUAGAUGUGCUUAGCUGAGUUGCCAACACCUGUCUUUUUUUAUUUUUUAUUGUAUGGAAGGUUUGCUGGAUGGCUGGGGAAAGAGAGAAAAAAAAAGGAAGGAAAAAUAAAAAUAAAAUUGUUAUUUAUUUAUCUUGAUUUAAAAAAAUAAGUUAUAGAAAACAUUUAAAUAAUUUUUUCUAUGUAAUGCAUCUUAAAUUUUUUAAUUAAUUUUAUUUUAAAAUAAUAUAUUUAAAUUGAUUGGUCUAGAUGUUGAUUCUCGAAUUGAUUUAAAAAUUUUCUCGACCAGUCGAUCUAUUUAUUAAAAAGUAUAAAUAAAAUAAUUUCAAAUAAUGAAUUUUGAAUUAUUUUAAAAUAUUUAUUUACAAAUUCAAAUUCGAAAGUUAAUUUUGGAUUUAUAAUUUGUAACGAUUUACUUGUCAUUUUUCUAUUAUAUUAUGUAUUUAAAUGGUUAAUUUUAGGUUAAUUAUAGGUUGGCCGAGAAUAAUGAGUAUUUAUAUUCUGUAGAAUAUAAAUUUAUUUAUUUUCGAAUGAUAUAUUUAAAAUGAUUAAUUUAGGUAAUAAUUUGAAUUCUUUAAUAAUUAUAAUACAGUUGAAUUUUUUUUUUUUUUGUGAAACAAAAGAAACCUACCAUAAAAAAAUUAAACUAAUUCCUCCAGUGGGAAUCUUUCAAUGAGGCCAUUUGUAAAAAUAUUUUUUACUCAGAGUAACAUGUUGAAUAUUCUAAUGUGGAACUUGAACUUGAUGUACACUCCUAAUCAAAGUUCAGUUCAUUAAAAUCAACAAGUAUUUAUAAAAAAGAUUACAUUAAAUUCUAGACUUUAUUAAAACUCGCUCGGUCUAUAAUCUAUGUGGAGAUAAAUGUAAGUUUUUUAAAGUCCUUAAUUUCAUUGGAUCUGAAGAAGCUUAGCAGCUUCGUAGAAGCAGUCAUUCAACAGCGUGUUUAUAAAAUCUGGGAAGUAGCCAUUCCUCAGGACUGUUAAAGAAAUAAUGGGUGGUUCUUGGUUUCUCAAACUACUACUUCUUUCAAUGCUUUUCAUUCUCUCCUUCUCUCAAGGUAUUACUUUGUUUUUAUUUCAUGUUUGCUGCUGCUUCUUUGUUUUCUUGCUCUUCUUAUCUAUAUUUACACUUUGUUUUGUUUCUCAAUGGGUUAGGAUUGGGUAGGAAAUGGAUGGAGAAUAAUGUUGAAUUUCAAGAUUACAGUGUUCAAUUGGAGGUUGAUUUUUCUCUAUUUCCUUUGAUUUUAUCUCGUCUUUUAUUUUCAAUCUUAGGAGCUAAAAUUGGGUUUUCUUUUUCUUUUUUUAUAAAUGUAUGGGAAGCAGGAAUUUGCAGAGAAAGCAAGGGAGAUGAUGGAAAUCAUGGAUUAUAAAGAGCCAGGGCCAAAUACGAACCCCAGAACUAGUUACAUAUUUGGCCCUCCUCCCCAACCACAACCCUAGCUCUGUUUUACUUGGUUCUUUUAUUGCCUUAAUUAUGUAUGUUUGAAUGAAUUGCAGAACCACAACCCUUUCUCUGUUACAUGAAAAUGGCACCUUUUUUUUUUAUUACUCCUAAUGUUAUGUAUGUAUGUAAGUAUGCUGGAGUUAUUGAUUGUAAGGGAAUACGAGUGACAAUAACCGAAUUAUCCAUUGAACUCUGUAACCGCAAUUUUUAGUUCUGGUCUGUUUUUGUCUAAGAAAUGUCACUGUUGAAAAACCAUCGACAUAAAAAGAGAGCCUAACUAUAGGUCCAUAGGUACAUGGUGGGGCCAGGGCUUUGGAAUCCCACUGAUUUAUAGUAUUAACAGGUUGUUCUGAAAUAAUAUAUAUAUAUACAUGGCACUCAAAUUUUACUUAAAUCGAUUAAUUUUUUAAAAAUAUUUUUUGGUUACAAGUUACACACUAUUGAUAAUAACAAAUCAAUGUCGCACAUGCACCCAUCAGUAGCAUGCAAUUUCUACGGUUCAAUCCGACAUGAGUGUGGGAUGAAUGCCUUCAGGACAAAAUGCUGGGAUCUUUCUUUUGUGGAUAAGUCAACAUGUUAAUUCAUUCAAAGAAAAGAAGCAUAACCAGGAAGCUACAAAUGCUCUUAGCAAGCGCAUAGGCAUAUUCAUAGUAAGCUUACAACAAUACAAAUCUAUCUCGAAUAGACCCCUUAAUUUGAUGAAACAAAGACUGAACCGGACUUGGUGAUCGCCCAUCAAGCCUUCUAUUCCUUUCCUGCAAGAGCUAUGUGCAAUCUCAAACCAACAAGCCUGCAUAAUGAUCUUCCAUAACUGAUUCCAAUAUGAACAAUCAACAUAAUAAACACGCAGCAUCAACCUGACAACCCCAACAUAUAGUCUACUGUAAUCGAUUUAGAAUAGCCAACCAAGAAAUGAAGGAGCUUAUUAUUGAAAGUUUCAUAUCUAACCAAGUUUUCUUCUGAAUUGCUCAAUGACACCAUCCGACUUUAAAUAACUUUUUAAGCUUUUGUUGUGAGAGGUCUGAAGUUGGUAUCUGGUCUUCACGAAACAGGAAAGUUUUUGAAAGAGUCCUUCAAUUUCUGAUAGCAGAUAUGAAACAUUAAUUGCUGUUUGUUGGGGGAAUUCUCUACAAGCCCUUAGUUUGCAAAUACGUUGUUGAUAAAUUCUCCCUACAAAGAACUACUUAAUUCCCCACAUACUGCAAUAGUUCCUCAUUCAUUCAAGUUCCAUGUUUUUAUAAUUUUAUAUUUUUAUUACGUCACAUAGAGGUGGCCGUGGCUAACAUUUGUGCCCUUUUCUUUGAAAAUAGAAUGAAUGAAAAUAUGAAUGAAGGGAAAACAAGUACGACCGAUGGCAACAAGCCGCUAAGCAAAAAAAAAAGGAACACAGACAAUUCCAGAGUACAAAUUCUUGGUUCUGUUCACUCCAAAACUUUCAACAAUCUCUGAAGGUCACAUAUAAAGUAAAUUCUCAAAAUGUUGACCAAUCAGAACUAGUUAUACGUUCUAUUACUACUUUACAAUAUAUUUUCUAAUAAUGCGACCUAAGCUAUGCCCUGUCUCAUCCACAUAUUGAAAAUGUACUAAUCUCCCUGACUUGCACAACAUUAAUAAGAACACUGUACCAAAGAAGCCUGACAAAAAUCCCAAUUCUACGGUUAGAAAGAACCAGUCAACUUGGUGUUGAUCCUCUCGAUUUUUCGGUACACCGCCGGUGCCGAACCUCACAUCAGUGGAACUCUCACUUAGUGGUGGCCCAAAAAGCUUGGUGCCAUAAAAGCUGUCAGCAUUCAAGCUUUGCAGCUGAGUUCCUGUGGGGAUUUUUCCAGUAAACUUGUUGUAGGACAAGUUGAGGUGACUCAAGAAAGAGAGGUCUGAGAUUGUUAGAGGGAUUUCACCAGAAAGAUUGUUUGUUGACAAAUCAAAACAUUCCAAUGAUGUCAUUGCUCCUAUGUUAUAAGGGAUCCUUCCAACUAAAUGACUAUGUGAGAAAUUCAAUGAUUGCAGGCCUGCAAGACUUGUCACCUCCUCAGGGAUUUCACCAGAUAAGUUAUUGUCUGAAAGGUCCAUUGUUUUAACCAAUUUAAGAGUAGUGUCAUAGUUCACAACCCUUCCUUUCAUCACAACUAAAAUAUCCUCAAAAAAGCUUCCUUUUGAGGUUCUAUAAAAUAUUUUGUCAUCUGAAUUAUUUCCCGAGUUCAUAGCACUGAGAUUGUUGAUACAGCUGGGUAUCUCACUUACCAAAUUGUUGUGGGCAAGGUCUAGGAUUUGCAGAUAGGAUAGGGCACAAAGUUCUUCAGGUAGGGUACCUGUAAACUUGUUUGAGUGAAGGCUUAAGAUUAUCAACUUUGGUAACCUCUCUCCCAUCCACCCUGGAAUAUCUCCAGAGAGUUGAUUAUAACCAAAAUCAACAGUAACCAAUUCACCGCAAUGUCUUAAAGAUGAGGGUAUUUCACCAACAACAGAGUUGUUUCGAACGUGUAAAGAUUGAAGCAAAGUUAAAGCUCCCAUGGACCCUGGAAUCUUGCCACUAAAAUUGUUGUCACAAAGUUUGAUCCCUACUAAUCUUGACCACUUCUUCCAGCAUUCAGGUAUUUUACCUGAUAGGAGAUUAUGACCGAGAUUUAGAAUUUCCAAUUUCAUUGGCUCAUUCAGCUUGUGGCACAAGAAAUGCGACAUUGAUCCUGACAGGGAAUUGAAAGAAAAAUCUAUGGCGGUCACGUUGGAGGAGAGAAGAGGAAGUGAACCUGUAAAGUUAUUACAACUGAGAUCUAUCAAGACAGAAGGUUGAGUCAUUGUGAGUAGAUCAGGAAUGUUGCCUUGGAACUGAUUUCGAGAGAUGUUGAAGUAGGACAGAUUGGAAGACAUGUUCCAAAACCAGGUUGGAAUUUCAGUUUGUCUGAAAUCAUUGUCGCUUAGGUCCAAGUAAGUUAAAUGGUUCAAAUCUAGCAGAGCUGGAUUCAACUUACCUCCCAACUUUCUGGUACCGCGGGAACUUCCAAGGUGGAGCUCAAUAACAUGGCCACUCACAUUGCUGCAUAUAAUUCCAUCCCAUCUGCAACAAUCUCCAUUUUUGGUCCAACUGGAUAGUCGAUUUGAAGGAUCUUUGAGAUGCUGCUUGAACCUCAAAAGAGCUUGCCUUUCGCUUUGAAUACAAGUCACGUUGUGGUUUCUGCCGCAAAAACUUAGUUUAAAAGAUUCUAAGAACACCAACAUUAGGAAAGUUACUGUAACAGGACUCAUGAUCUUCAUGCAAAUCUAUAAAAUUAACAUAUAUUUUGCUUAUGAACACUCUGACAGAACCCAAUUUCUAUUCAAUUGAGUAUACUUGUUAAAUUAUUUGGAUAGAUGAAAAUGUCCGCUACUUUUUCACUUCUAUGAUAUAUUUUCUACAAAAGCCCAAAUUGGACCAGACCUAUCUAAACUGGAAAAGUUUUCCAACCUUUAGAAAAUGAACCAUGCUUAUUUUUCAUCUGAUACUCAGCACCUACCUUCCUAGUCCUUUUCUAUGUUUUAACUUAUUGAAUUUUCUGCUUUUAAUUGAUCAACCUUCCUGUACUCCUAAUGGUUUUAAGUCUUUUCUUUUUCUUCCUUAUCCUGGGACUAAAAGUCUCUGAGUUUCUAUCACGCUUCUUAAGCAAAGGUUUCCACAUGCCCCACUUGUCUACCUAUCCAUCCCUGAAUUAGUGGGAUGAAACCUAACUUAAUAAUAAUAGCUUUUCAAAUUUAGAUAAUUUCCAUAUGCAUAUAAUCUUAGGUAUUGUUCGAAAGUGCUUUGAUUUUAAUGUAUGUAGUGUCUGUAUAUAAACUUAUUCAAACAUCAACAUGACUACUGAAGUCAAAAUUUAAAAAGAUUUUAAGCAAAAAUACUAAACCUUAAAAGUGGACUUGAUGGAAAAAUAUGGAUGGACUUAAUCUAUUUUCAAAUUUAUAAUAUUUUUCAUUUAUGUUAUGUAUAAUAUUUGAUUUUUAUCAUAAGAAAAACUAAAUAUAUUAUACUACAAAUCUACAAUGCAAAUAUUUUAAAAAAUAUAUAUGUUAAGUUGUAUAUAUUUAAAAGUCAAUAAAAGGAAAAAGAAUCUGAGCAGACUUAAAAUUUGAAGCAAAUAUUUUAGAUCAAGCCGAACUUGUCACUACAUGUGACAUUUAUACCAUGCAUGGACUCGACCUAAACUUGAUUUGACCUGACUUGAUCUAUUUUCAAAUUUAUAAUAUAUUAUUUUUGUUUAUUAGGUAAUUAAUUUACAAGAAAAAUAAAAUAUAUUACAUUAUAAUGCAAAUAUUAAAAAGUAAGUUAAGUUUUAUAUGUUGAAAAUUUUAAUAAAAUAAGUACACAUAUAAUUAAUAAAUAUUAAUUAAAAAAACGAUUAUGUUUUUAAAUAAAAAAUUGAUCAAAAUUUAAAACUCAUAUUUGGAGCUAGAUUGAACUUUGAUAACUAUGCAUAGGUUUGGCCUAAACUCAACUUGAAUAGGCCCAUAAGCAUAUCUAAGAUUACGGAAUGUUCAAAUAUUUAUAUAUAAACUCGAAUUCGAUGUCUUAUAACAUAUUAAAUCUUAUUUGAUUUGAAAUUUUAUAUUUAACAAUUAAUUUAAUAAAUUUGAAUAUUAAACAAAUCUAAAGAUCUUAAUAUAUCAUAGUACGAUCUAAAUGCAGAUUUAGUAUCAGAUAAAAAAGAUGGUUAAGUUUUGUAAAGCCCGAAUUGGGCUGCCACAUUUUAACUCCUGUUCAUAAGUUUUAACUUAAAGAUUAAAUUUAAAAUUGAAUGGGAGAAUGUGCCACUUCUAUUGGACGUCACAUGUGGGGUUUUCACGUGUGCAAACUAAACACACCUGAUAAUUUAUAUUAUAUUAUGUAAUUUAAGAUCUCAUGGAAGUAAAACUAGAUUACACUUUAUUCAUACAUACCAAUGAGUUGUUUUUUACUAUCAUCUACGUAUCAUAGCUAAUCAAUUUAACAACUUCUCAUCGCAUUUAAUCCAACAUAGCAAACUAAAAUUUGAAAAGGAAAUCUCAUUUCAAUGUCUUUGUGGAACAAAUGGGAGCCCGAAUGGCCGAAACACACUCUUUUUUUUUUUUUACAUUAAUAUAGAUUUGGAAAGUAAAUGAAUUACACCGUGUCUGACAAUAAAAAGCAUUUAAAGGCCUUGAUUUCAUUGGAUCUGAAGAAGCUUAGCAGCUUCGUAGAAGCAGUCAUUCAACAGCGUGUUUAUAAAAUCUGGGAAGUAGCCAUACCUCAGGACUGUAAAGGAAUAAUGGGUGGUUCUUGGUUUCUCAAACUACUACUUCUUUCAAUGCUUUUCAUUCUCUCCUUCUCUCAAGGUAUUACUUUGUUUUUAUUUCAUGUUUGCUGCUGCUUCUUUGUUUUCUUGCUCUUCUUAUCUAUAUUUACACUUUGUUUUGUUUUUCGAUGCUUAGGAUUGAGUGGGAAAUGGAUAGAGAAUCAUGUUGAGUUUCGAGAAUACAAUGUUCAAUCUAUUUCCUUUGAUUUUACCUAGUCUUUUAUUUUCAAUUUCAGGAGCUAAAAUUGGGUUUUCUUUUUCUUGUCUAUUUUUAUAAAUGUAUGGGAAGCAGGAAUUUGCAGAGAGAGGAAGGGUGUAACACCCCCUAACCUCAAACCGUCACCGGAACAAGGUUAUGGAGCAUUACCAGACAUAUCGGAAACUUAUAACUAAUUCACAAUUAAAUAACAGAUAUAGCAUACUUGUAUCAAAUAUGUCAUAUUAGUUUCAUUUCAUACUUAUAACCAAUUUAAACAUCAUUCUACAACCGUAAUAACAAAACUUUUAUUCUUAACCUAUACAUCACCUAGGUACAUGCCACAUUAUCAAACAAAGGUACAACACUAAAAUUUCUCUGAGUUCGGGAUUGCUCUGGAUGCUGGACCGGACACUGACUUUUUACUAACCUGCGCUCGGAGACAACCGCACGCUGAGUAUAGAAAUACUCAGUGGUAUUACCAUAAUUCAAAUUAAUAACAUUAAUCGAUAAAUUAUAUACAUUUAAAUUUAUGUCUACAAUUAUUCAAUACAUUUUCUCGUACUUUAAAUCAACCUAAUAAUUAAUAACAAGAAGCAAUAUUUCAAAUCUUGUAUUUAGUUGUAUUCAUACCUUAUUUCACUAUCUCAAUUCUAUUGGAUUUUUCGACAUCUCAUUCUAAUAAUUCAUUCCAAUUCAUACAAAUUCAAUCAAUUUAUCAACUCAUUCAUUAUCAUUUCUAUUUAUAUUCAAUUUAUACUUUUCAAUCUUUUAAUAAUCAAAUUAAACAUUUAGACCAACAUGUUUCAAUAAUAAUAAUAACUAAUUUUAUAAAAUUUGUAUUCAAAUUAACUCAUACACUAUUUCUUAAUUCAAUUUAUACCAUUAAUCUUUCAAUAAACAUUUAAUACAUUAAAUCAACUUGUUUCAACAACAGUAAUANNNNNNNNNNNNNNNNNNNNNNNNNNNNNNNNNNNNNNNNNNNNNNNNNNNNNNNNNNNNNNNNNNNNNNNNNNNNNNNNNNNNNNNNNNNNNNNNNNNNNNNNNNNNNNNNNNNNNNNNNNNNNNNNNNNNNNNNNNNNNNNNNNNNNNNNNNNNNNNNNNNNNNNNNNNNNNNNNNNNNNNNNNNNNNNNNNNNNNNNNNNNNNNNNNNNNNNNNNNNNNNNNNNNNNNNNNNNNNNNNNNNNNNNNNNNNNNNNNNNNNNNNNNNNNNNNNNNNNNNNNNNNNNNNNNNNNNNNNNNNNNNNNNNNNNNNNNNNNNNNNNNNNNNNNNNNNNNNNNNNNNNNNNNNNNNNNNNNNNNNNNNNNNNNNNNNNNNNNNNNNNNNNNNNNNNNNNNNNNNNNNNNNNNNNNNNNNNNNNNNNNNNNNNNNNNNNNNNNNNNNNNNNNNNNNNNNNNNNNNNNNNNNNNNNNNNNNNNNNNNNNNNNNNNNNNNNNNNNNNNNNNNNNNNNNNNNNNNNNNNNNNNNNNNNNNNNNNNNNNNNNNNNNNNNNNNNNNNNNNNNNNNNNNNNNNNNNNNNNNNNNNNNNNNNNNNNNNNNNNNNNNNNNNNNNNNNNNNNNNNNNNNNNNNNNNNNNNNNNNNNNNNNNNNNNNNNNNNNNNNNNNNNNNNNNNNNNNNNNNNNNNNNNNNNNNNNNNNNNNNNNNNNNNNNNNNNNNNNNNNNNNNNNNNNNNNNNNNNNNNNNNNNNNNNNNNNNNNNNNNNNNNNNNNNNNNNNNNNNNNNNNNNNNNNNNNNNNNNNNNNNNNNNNNNNNNNNNNNNNNNNNNNNNNNNNNNNNNNNNNNNNNNNNNNNNNNNNNNNNNNNNNNNNNNNNNNNNNNNNNNNNNNNNNNNNNNNNNNNNNNNNNNNNNNNNNNNNNNNNNNNNNNNNNNNNNNNNNNNNNNNNNNNNNNNNNNNNNNNNNNNNNNNNNNNNNNNNNNNNNNNNNNNNNNNNNNNNNNNNNNNNNNNNNNNNNNNNNNNNNNNNNNNNNNNNNNNNNNNNNNNNNNNNNNNNNNNNNNNNNNNNNNNNNNNNNNNNNNNNNNNNNNNNNNNNNNNNNNNNNNNNNNNNNNNNNNNNNNNNNNNNNNACCUUAAAUGCGCAAUCACUCGGACAAUGAUAUUGCACGACAUUAGCUACGUAAUUAAACAAUUAAAAAUCAUUAAUACACAAUUUCAUUAAAAUAUUUCCAUUUAUGCCUAAACUUCACCUAAAUUCUAAUUUAAUCCCUUAUCAAUACUAAUUUUAUUUUUCCAAUCUAACUCCAUAUUCUCUCUUAAUUCUUACUAUAAAUUCACUUUAACUCUUCAUUUUCACCAUAAAUCCAUAAUUUCGAAAUUCUCUCAAUUUAGUCCCUAUUAAUUCAAAGCCUAUAAUUUAUUUUACAAAUCAACCUUUUACUAACUUCUAACUUGAAAUUUAAUCAAUUUAACCCUUAAUCCUUUCAUUUAUUCAACAUAAUCAAUGUCUAGAAAUAUAAUAACUUCCAAAAUUUCAACAUAAAUCCAAUAAUACUUUGUUCUAGGACACCACACACUCAAAAAUUAUAAGAAAAUGACUUAAUUUAACUUACCAAGUGAGUUUGGAAUCUUAAAAUCCCAAAUUUUCUUCCUUUCCUUCCCUUUUUCUUUUU
RNAcentral lists this long non-coding RNA (39715 nucleotides) under Gossypium raimondii (Peruvian cotton). RNAcentral's name for it is "long non-coding RNA (GRAI_LNC005130)". Lineage: Eukaryota; Viridiplantae; Streptophyta; Magnoliopsida; Malvales; Malvaceae. The record is from RNAcentral.